CUCCUGAGCUUCCUGGCAGCCAAGUCAGAGCAGAGCCACUAAGUAUUGAACACCUACUUUGAGUAAUGCUCUCUCUCUCUGUUAAGCAGUGUGAGUGAUACCUGGGUUAAGGGAAAAAGUGAGCAGAGCCUUGAAGGAUGUCCAGAAUAACUACACUCACAAAUACACUCUCCUGGAGAAGGACCAGCAUUUGCAGACACCUGAAGAGUGCAGGCGGUUCUUAGGGGAAGAUGGAUGAUCCUCUGCUGGAGUGAAGGAUAUGGAGGAAAGUACUCAGAUUUUCCUCGAAGAGCCACCCCUCCUCAUUGUGUAGCAGCUGUUAGUUGUGUGGGAUUGAACUGCCUUCAGUUCAGGAGUGGGACCCGAAUUGGUAUAGACCAAUCAGUAGAUUGCACUGAAAAUUCAAUCUCAAGCAGGUUGGGAGAUGUGAGUAAAAGCACAUGAAACCCACCUUCCUGGGAGACUUGUUUUGGAAUCAUGAGGGAAGCCUGAAGAUGACAUUAUGAAGAAGGGCAAAACCAAGAAAAUUGUAGAAAAACAGAGCCAUGUUCUUGAUUGAGCUACACCUGAAGCCAGUCCUUACUCUGAACUUUACUGUUAUGAGUGAGCAUACUAAUGGC
Molecule: long non-coding RNA, 620 nt
Organism: Physeter macrocephalus (sperm whale)
Lineage: Eukaryota; Metazoa; Chordata; Mammalia; Artiodactyla; Physeteridae
Exons: 5
Source: RefSeq, a predicted model, not a curated record